AUGUUGUUUUUCUGCAGGUCGGUGAUGCAGACCUGCAGAUCUGCUCUGUUAAUCCUGAUUUUACUGAUCAUCACUACACUCAUGACUGAUGCUCCUACAGUGACGGCGCCUCUCCAUGGCUCUGUGGUUCUGUCGUGUUCUGAGAGAUGUUCUGGAGUGGUGAGAUGGACGGUGUUUAGUAAACGUUCUGAUCCUCUAGCUGAGUGUGAUCAGACUUCCUGCAGAUCAGUGAAGGAGUGAUAUCAGAUGAUCUAUAAUCAAUACCUGCAGGGGAAUCUCUCUCUGAUCAUCAGUAAAGCUGAUUUCAGUAAGAGGGACUGGUACACAUGCGAGUGUGAUGGUAGAGAUGUCUGUGAUGUGCAUCUGCAGAUUAAGCGUAAGUGUUUGCUCGACUUUCUAGUGUGCAGUUUGAUUUAGGGAGUGUCAGUGUGUCUUUGCUGUCGUAAUGUUGGGAAAAGUACACCUUGCACGGCUAA
RNAcentral lists this long non-coding RNA (476 nucleotides) under Astyanax mexicanus (Mexican tetra). Its description in RNAcentral is "lncRNA (ENSAMXG00005001804.1)". The record is from RNAcentral. Lineage: Eukaryota; Metazoa; Chordata; Actinopteri; Characiformes; Acestrorhamphidae.